This 467-nucleotide ribosomal RNA is filed under the name uncultured bacterium. Its description in RNAcentral is "partial 16S ribosomal RNA". It matches the Rfam family "Bacterial small subunit ribosomal RNA", at positions 28 to 506 of the family's 1533-position model. The record is from RNAcentral.
GACGAACGCUGGCGGCGUGCUUAACACAUGCAAGUCGAACGGAAAGGCCCUGCUUUUGUGGGGUGCUCGAGUGGCGAACGGGUGAGUAACACGUGAGUAACCUGCCCUUGACUUUGGGAUAACUUCAGGAAACUGGGGCUAAUACCGGAUAGGAGCUCCUGCUGCAUGGUGGGGGUUGGAAAGUUUCGGCGGUUGGGGAUGGACUCGCGGCUUAUCAGCUUGUUGGUGGGGUAGUGGCUUACCAAGGCUUUGACGGGUAGCCGGCCUGAGAGGGUGACCGGCCACAUUGGGACGGGGAAGCGGCCCAGACUCCUACGGGGGGCAGGGGGGGGGAAUAUUGCACAAUGGGCGGAAGCCUGAUGCAGCAACGCCGGGUGGGGGAUGACGGCCUUCGGGUUGUAAACCGCUUUCGCCUGUGACGAAGCGUGGGGGCGGGAAAUGGGUAAAGAAGCACCGGCAAACUACGG